CUAGCUGGUCUGAGAGGAUGACCAGCCACACUGGAACUGAGACACGGUCCAGACUCCUACGGGAGGCAGCAGUGGGGAAUAUUGCACAAUGGGCGCAAGCCUGAUGCAGCCAUGCCGCGUGUAUGAAGAAGGCCUUCGGGUUGUAAAGUACUUUCAGCGGGGAGGAAGGGAGUAAAGUUAAUACCUUUGCUCAUUGACGUUACCCGCAGAAGAAGCACCGGCUAACUCCGUGCCAGCAGCCGCGGUAAUACGGAGGGUGCAAGCGUUAAUCGG
RNAcentral lists this ribosomal RNA (273 nucleotides) under Escherichia coli. Its description in RNAcentral is "partial 16S ribosomal RNA". It matches the Rfam family "Bacterial small subunit ribosomal RNA", at positions 283 to 548 of the family's 1533-position model. The record is from RNAcentral. Lineage: Bacteria; Pseudomonadati; Pseudomonadota; Gammaproteobacteria; Enterobacterales; Enterobacteriaceae.